RNAcentral lists this transfer RNA (82 nucleotides) under Cryptococcus depauperatus. Its description in RNAcentral is "tRNA-Gly". It matches the Rfam family "tRNA". Rfam says of the family: Transfer RNA (tRNA) molecules are approximately 80 nucleotides in length. Their secondary structure includes four short double-helical elements and three loops (D, anti-codon, and T loops). Further hydrogen bonds mediate the characteristic L-shaped molecular structure. tRNAs have two regions of fundamental functional importance: the anti-codon, which is responsible for specific mRNA codon recognition, and the 3' end, to which the tRNAs corresponding amino acid is attached (by aminoacyl-tRNA synthetases). tRNAs cope with the degeneracy of the genetic code in two manners: having more than one tRNA (with a specific anti-codon) for a particular amino acid; and 'wobble' base-pairing, i.e. permitting non-standard base-pairing at the 3rd anti-codon position. Lineage: Eukaryota; Fungi; Basidiomycota; Tremellomycetes; Tremellales; Cryptococcaceae. The record is from RNAcentral. RNAcentral also lists the same sequence under 1 other name.
ACACCGUUGGUGAAACGGUAUCAUGCAUCGUUGCCAUUCAAGGAUUUUCGAUGCGGCAGGGGUUCGACUCCCCUACGGUGUA